AGUACGGCCGCAAGGCUGAAACUCAAAGGAAUUGACGGGGGCCCGCACAAGCGGUGGAGCAUGUGGUUUAAUUCGACGCAACGCGAAGAACCUUACCAGGUCUUGACAUCGCCUGACAGCUGUGGAAACGCAGUCUU
RNAcentral lists this ribosomal RNA (137 nucleotides) under uncultured bacterium. RNAcentral's name for it is "partial 16S ribosomal RNA". It matches the Rfam family "Bacterial small subunit ribosomal RNA", at positions 879 to 1015 of the family's 1533-position model. The record is from RNAcentral.